AGCGUUGUAUCCGUGCUGAGAUUUCGUCAAACACCAAACCACAAGGGCUGAUCAGACUGCCAAGAUAAGUGAAGCG
Molecule: microRNA precursor, 76 nt
Filed under: Schistosoma margrebowiei
Lineage: Eukaryota; Metazoa; Platyhelminthes; Trematoda; Strigeidida; Schistosomatidae
Description: mir-3492 microRNA precursor family
Rfam family: mir-3492 microRNA precursor family
Source: Rfam by way of RNAcentral